RNAcentral lists this ribosomal RNA (253 nucleotides) under uncultured bacterium. RNAcentral's name for it is "partial 16S ribosomal RNA". It matches the Rfam family "Bacterial small subunit ribosomal RNA", at positions 524 to 776 of the family's 1533-position model. The record is from RNAcentral.
UACGAAGGGGGCUAGCGUUGUUCGGAUUUACUGGGCGUAAAGCGCACGUAGGCGGCUCGUUAAGUCGGGGGUGAAAUCCUGGAGCUCAACUCCAGAACUGCCUUUGAUACUGGCGAUCUUGAGUCCGGAAGAGGUGAGUGGAACUCCUAGUGUAGAGGUGGAAUUCGUAGAUAUUAGGAAGAACACCAGUGGCGAAGGCGGCUCACUGGUCCGGUACUGACGCUGAGGUGCGAAAGCGUGGGGAGCAAACAGG